GUGGCCAACGGGCGACAUAGGAAACACUCUAUGAUUUCGCUUGAAUGUGGUUCUGUGAUUGUAGAAGGGACCAAAACUUUAUUGUCCCAUGCUACUAACUAUUAUAAAGAUCUGUUUGGACCGGCCCUUGGCAAUAUUUGCCACAUUGAUGCUUCUCUUUGGUCCCAGGAUGAAAAAAUCUCACCUGAGGAUAAUGAGGACCUGACUCGACCUUUUUCUCUUGAGGAAGUUAAAAAGGCUUUAUUUGAGAUGAAAUCUAAUCGAGCCCCUGGUCCGGACAAUAUCCCUGUUGAAAUCUACCAACAUUGUUGGGAUGUGGUGGGCCCGGACCUUUUCAGCUUGUUUAAAUGGUUCUAUGAAGGCAAGCUGGAUGUGUAG
This 378-nucleotide ribosomal RNA is filed under the name Triticum aestivum (bread wheat). Its description in RNAcentral is "partial small subunit ribosomal RNA". Lineage: Eukaryota; Viridiplantae; Streptophyta; Magnoliopsida; Poales; Poaceae. The record is from RNAcentral.